RNAcentral lists this ribosomal RNA (254 nucleotides) under uncultured bacterium. RNAcentral's name for it is "partial 16S ribosomal RNA". It matches the Rfam family "Bacterial small subunit ribosomal RNA", at positions 524 to 776 of the family's 1533-position model. The record is from RNAcentral.
GACGUAGGGCGCGAGCGUUGUCCGGAUUUAUUGGGCGUAAAGAGCUCGUAGGCGGCUCGUUGCGUCAGCUGUGAAAACCCGCAGCUCAACUGUGGGCUUGCAGCUGAUACGGGCGGGCUAGAAUUCGGUGAGGGGAGACUGGAAUUCCUGGUGUAGCGGUGAAAUGCGUAGAUAUCAGGAGGAACACCUGUGGUGUAGACAGCUUACUGGACCACUUCUGACGCUGAGACACGAAAGCGUGGGUAGCAAACAGG